Molecule: ribosomal RNA, 99 nt
Filed under: Cyprinus carpio x Culter alburnus
Lineage: Eukaryota; Metazoa; Chordata; Actinopteri; Cypriniformes
Source: RNAcentral
GCUAUGCCCGAUCUCGUCUGAUCUCGGAAGCUAAGCAGUGUCGGGCCUUGUUAGUACUUGGAUGGGAGACCGCCUGGGAAUACCAGGUGCUGUAAGCUU